Archocentrus centrarchus (flier cichlid) is the source of this 970-nucleotide long non-coding RNA. RefSeq lists it as uncharacterized. The transcript is spliced from 2 exons. The record is from RefSeq and is a predicted model, not a curated record. NCBI's taxonomy places the organism in Eukaryota, Metazoa, Chordata, Actinopteri, Cichliformes, Cichlidae.
ACUCACUGACGUGUUCAAGAAACCAGUUUGAGAUGAUCUGAGCUUUGUGACAUGAUGUGUUAUCCUGCUGGAAACAGCCAUAAGAUGGACAGAUGGAUACACUGUGGUCAUAAAAGCGAUGGUCAGCAAGAACACCCAGAGCCAGCAGGGGACUCAGCAAAGCCUGGCUGGGCUCAGGCUUGAACCUGGGCAUCGAGGAGGCCGGGCCAGAUGGGUCAGCAGAUGGACAAGGAGGCUGAGCCGCCCCUGAUCUGCUCUACAGAAAACUCAGAGUCUGGCCACACCCAGAGAGGAAGAGGGAGGGAGACAGAAAGAGAAACACAAGAAAAGAGACAGAGGGAUGCAAUACAAGAGGUGGACGUGAGAUUCUUGUGUUAUCCUGUCACAGCAGUCUUAUUUACUUUUACCCCCAACAGAGCAGCCAAGAGGAGCAAAGGGGUUUAGAAGCAAUCUACUAAAAACAGGGGAAUUAAUAAACAAGCAUCUGGCCAUGUGGUUUAACCUUAUGUAUAUUAGUAAACUUAUACUUUACCUCCCUUCAUUGAUUAGCUCAAUGAAGGCCAGUCCAGCAUUCUUCUGAAUUGAGUUCUGCCACUCCUGAAAAGAAAAAAUAAAGGUUGUGAUGUAUUACUCACACAAGGACUGCAUUUUGGGGUUGUAAAUGGGGGUGGAUCCUUACAGUCAGUACUGUAAGGAUCUAAUUAGACAUUAGCAUAAAGCUAACAGUGUAUUAAAAAAGCACAUUAUCAGAAAUCUUUGCAAAGCACAUAAAAAGUUAAAAUAAAACGAGUCAAAAUGCAAUUUGUAUCCAAUACGGUCCACUUUCCAUCAUGAAAAUUGCAUAUUUGAAACUGCAAUUCAGAUAAAAUUUCAGAGCUUGUAAUUCAAGUAAGUAAAGAAAGCAUUUAGUUGAUGUAUCCGUUGAGAAAAGAAAAAAGUGAUGGCUAUAAAAAGCUGAAAUUCUGCACCA